This 165-nucleotide ribosomal RNA is filed under the name uncultured bacterium. Its description in RNAcentral is "partial 16S rRNA". It matches the Rfam family "Bacterial small subunit ribosomal RNA", at positions 355 to 511 of the family's 1533-position model. The record is from RNAcentral.
UAGGGAAUCUUCGGCAAUGGGGGCAACCCUGACCGAGCAACGCCGCGUGAGUGAAGAAGGUUUUCGGAUCGUAAAGCUCUGUUGUAAGAGAAGAACGUGUGUGAGAGUGGAAAGUUCACACAGUGACGGUAACUUACCAGAAAGGGACGGCUAACUACGUGCUAG